GAUGAACGCUGGCGGCGUGCCUAAUACAUGCAAGUCGAGCGAACGGACGAGAAGCUUGCUUCUCUGAUGUUAGCGGCGGACGGGUGAGUAACACGUGGAUAACCUACCUAUAAGACUGGGAUAACUUCGGGAAACCGGAGCUAAUACCGGAUAAUAUUUUGAACCGCAUGGUUCAAAAGUGAAAGACGGUCUUGCUGUCACUUAUAGAUGGAUCCGCGCUGCAUUAGCUAGUUGGUAAGGUAACGGCUUACCAAGGCAACGAUGCAUAGCCGACCUGAGAGGGUGAUCGGCCACACUGGAACUGAGACACGGUCCAGACUCCUACGGGAGGCAGCAGUAGGGAAUCUUCCGCAAUGGGCGAAAGCCUGACGGAGCAACGCCGCGUGAGUGAUGAAGGUCUUCGGAUCGUAAAACUCUGUUAUUAGGGAAGAACAUAUGUGUAAGUAACUGUUGCCAUCUUGACGGUACCUAAUCAGAAAGCCACGGCUAACUACGUGCCACCAGCCGCGGUAAUACUUAGGUGGCAAGCGUUAUCCGGGAAUUAUUGGGCGUAAAGCGCGCGCUAGCGGUUUUUUAAGUCUGAUGUGAAAGCCCACGGCUCAACCGGGGAGGGUCAUUGGAAACUGGAAAACUUGAGUGCAGAAGAGGAAAGUGGAAUUCCAUGUGUAGCGGUGAAAUGCGCAGAGAUAUGGAGGAACACCAGUGGCGAAGGCGACUUUCUGGUCUGUAACUGACGCUGAUGUGCGAAAGCGUGGGGAUCAAACAGGAUUAGAUACCCUGGUAGUCCACGCCGUAAACGAUGAGUGCUAAGUGUUAGGGGGUUUCCGCCCCUUAGUGCUGCAGCUAACGCAUUAAGCGCUCCGCCUGGGGAGUACGACCGCAAGGUUGAAACUCAAAGGAAUUGACGGGGACCCGCACAAGCGGUGGAGCAUGUGGUUUAAUUCGAAGCAACGCGAAGAACCUUACCAAAUCUUGACAUCCUUUGACAACUCUAGAGAUAGAGCUUUCCCCUUCGGGGGACAAAGUGACAGGUGGUGCAUGGUUGUCGUCAGCUCGUGUCGUGAGAUGUUGGGUUAAGUCCCGCAACGAGCGCAACCCUUAAGCUUAGUUGCCAUCAUUAAGUUGGGCACUCUAAGUUGACUGCCGGUGACAAACCGGAGGAAGGUGGGGAUGACGUCAAAUCAUCAUGCCCCUUAUGAUUUGGGCUACACACGUGCUACAAUGGACAAUACAAAGGGCAGCGAAACCGUGAGGUCAAGCAAAUCCCAUAAAGUUGUUCUCAGUUCGGAUUGUAGUCUGCAACUCGACUACAUGAAGCUGGAAUCGCUAGUAAUCGUAGAUCAGCAUGCUACGGUGAAUACGUUCCCGGGUCU
RNAcentral lists this ribosomal RNA (1373 nucleotides) under uncultured bacterium. Its description in RNAcentral is "bacterial SSU rRNA". It matches the Rfam family "Bacterial small subunit ribosomal RNA", at positions 28 to 1381 of the family's 1533-position model. The record is from RNAcentral.